Molecule: ribosomal RNA, 837 nt
Filed under: Kitasatospora sp.
Lineage: Bacteria; Bacillati; Actinomycetota; Actinomycetes; Kitasatosporales; Streptomycetaceae
Description: bacterial SSU rRNA
Rfam family: Bacterial small subunit ribosomal RNA
Source: RNAcentral
ACCCGCUCAGACGAACGCUGGCGGCGUGCUUAACACAUGCAAGUCGAACGAUGAAGCCUUCGGGUGGAUUAGUGGCGAACGGGUGAGUAACACGUGGGAAAUCUGCCCUGAACUCUGGGACAAGCCUUGGAAACGAGGUCUAAUACCGGAUAUGACCGUGGAGCGCAUGCUCUGUGGUGGAAAGCUCCGGCGGUUCAGGAUGAUCCCGCGGCCUAUCAGCUUGUUGGUGGGGUAAUGGCCUACCAAGGCGACGACGGGUAGCCGGCCUGAGAGGGCGACCGGCCACACUGGGACUGAGACACGGCCCAGACUCCUACGGGAGGCAGCAGUGGGGAAUAUUGCACAAUGGGCGAAAGCCUGAUGCAGCGACGCCGCGUGAGGGAUGACGGCCUUCGGGUUGUAAACCUCUUUCAGCAGGGAAGAAGCGCAAGUGACGGUACCUGCAGAAGAAGCACCGGCUAACUACGUGCCAGCAGCCGCGGUAAUACGUAGGGUGCGAGCGUUGUCCGGAAUUAUUGGGCGUAAAGAGCUCGUAGGCGGCCUGUCGCGUCGGAUGUGAAAGCCCGGGGCUUAACCCCGGGUCUGCAUUCGAUACGGGCAGGCUAGAGUGUGGUAGGGGAGAUCGGAAUUCCUGGUGUAGCGGUGAAAUGCGCAGAUAUCAGGAGGAACACCGGUGGCGAAGGCGGAUCUCUGGGCCAUUACUGACGCUGAGGAGCGAAAGCGUGGGGAGCGAACAGGAUUAGAUACCCUGGUAGUCCACGCCGUAAACGUUGGGAACUAGGUGUUGGCGACAUUCCACGUCGUCGGUGCCGCAGCUAACGCAUUAAGUCCCCGCCU